UCGGGAAUAUUGCCCAAUGCGCGAAAGCGUGAGGCAGCAACGCCGCGUGCGCGAUGAAGGCCUUCGGGUCGUAAAGCGCUUUUCGGUGGGAUGAGGAAGGACAGUACCACCGGAAUAAGGGACGGCUAACUACGUGCCAGCAGCCGCGGUAAAACGUAGGUCCCGAGCGUUAUCCGGAUUUACUGGGCGUAAAGGGCGUUCAGGCGGUGGGCUAAGUCAGGCAUGAAAUCUCACGGCUCAACCGAGAGAGGCUGUCUGAGACUGGCACACUUGAGGGCAGUCGAGGGUGGUGGAAUUCCGGGUGUAGUGGUGAAAUGCGUAGAGAUCCGGAGGAACACCAGUGGCGAAAGCGGCCACCUGGGCUGUACCUGACGCUGACACGCGAAAGCUAGGGGAGCGAACGGG
This 405-nucleotide ribosomal RNA is filed under the name uncultured bacterium. Its description in RNAcentral is "bacterial SSU rRNA". It matches the Rfam family "Bacterial small subunit ribosomal RNA", at positions 355 to 776 of the family's 1533-position model. The record is from RNAcentral.